This 253-nucleotide ribosomal RNA is filed under the name uncultured bacterium. RNAcentral describes it as "partial 16S ribosomal RNA". It matches the Rfam family "Bacterial small subunit ribosomal RNA", at positions 524 to 776 of the family's 1533-position model. The record is from RNAcentral.
UACGUAGGGAGCAAGCGUUGUCCGGAAUCAUUGGGCGUAAAGCGCGCGUAGGUGGUCCCGUAAGUCCGCUGUGAAAGUCAAAGGCUCAACCUUUGAAAGCCGGUGGAUACUGUGGGACUAGAGUACGGAAGAGGCGAGUGGAAUUCCUGGUGUAGCGGUGGAAUGCGCAGAUAUCAGGAGGAACACCAAUAGCGAAGGCAGCUCGCUGGGACGUUACUGACGCUGAGACGCGAAAGCGUGGGGAGCAAACAGG